This 402-nucleotide ribosomal RNA is filed under the name uncultured bacterium. RNAcentral's name for it is "bacterial SSU rRNA". It matches the Rfam family "Bacterial small subunit ribosomal RNA", at positions 355 to 774 of the family's 1533-position model. The record is from RNAcentral.
UGGGGAAUAUUGGACAAUGGGGGAAACCCUGAUCCAGCGAUGCCGCGUGAAUGAUGAAGGUCUUAGGAUUGUAAAAUUCUUUCACCGGGGACGAUAAUGACGGUACCCGGAGAAGAAGCCCCGGCUAACUUCGUGCCAGCAGCCGCGGUAAUACGAAGGGGGCUAGCGUUGCUCGGAAUUACUGGGCGUAAAGGGAGCGUAGGCGGACAUUUAAGUCAGGGGUGAAAUCCCGGGGCUCAACCUCGGAAUUGCCUUUGAUACUGGGUGUCUUGAGUGUGAGAGAGGUAUGUGGAACUCCGGGUGUAGAGGUGAAAUUCGUAGAUAUUCGGAAGAGCACCAGUGGCGAAGGCGACAUACUGGCUCAUUACUGACGCGGAGGCUCGAAAGAGUGGAGAGCAAACA